UAUGGUUAAGCUACUAAGAGCACACGGAGGAUGCCUAGGCGCUAGGAGCCGAUGAAGGACGUGGCGAACAACGAAACUGCCUCGGGGAGCUGUAAGCAAGCUUUGAUCCGGGGAUGUCCGAAUGGGGAAACCCAGCUGGGGUAAUUUCCAGUUACUCAUAACUGAAUACAUAGGUUAUGUAGAGGCAUACCAAGGGAACUGAAACAUCUAAGUACCUUGAGGAAGAGAAAACAAUAGUGAUUCCGUCAGUAGCGGCGAGCGAACGCGGAGAAGCCCAAACCAGAGAGCUUGCUCUUUGGGGUUGUGGGACAUCUCACAUGGAGUUACAAAGGAACCGGUUAAGCGAAGAGGUCUGGAAAGGCCCGCCAAAGAAGGUAAAAGCCCUGUACUUGAAAGUCUGUUCUCUCCGAGAUGUAUCCCGAGUAGUGCGGGGCACGUGAAACCCCGUAUGAAUCCGGCAGGACCAUCUGCCAAGGCUAAAUACUUCCUAGCGACCGAU
This 499-nucleotide ribosomal RNA is filed under the name Paenibacillus sp. RU5A. Its description in RNAcentral is "bacterial LSU rRNA". It matches the Rfam family "Bacterial large subunit ribosomal RNA", at positions 1 to 488 of the family's 2925-position model. Lineage: Bacteria; Bacillati; Bacillota; Bacilli; Caryophanales; Paenibacillaceae. The record is from RNAcentral.